Molecule: RNase P RNA, 414 nt
Filed under: Chloroflexi bacterium CG_4_9_14_3_um_filter_45_9
Lineage: Bacteria; Bacillati; Chloroflexota
Also listed under: 1 other name
Description: RNase P RNA component class A
Rfam family: Bacterial RNase P class A
About the family: Ribonuclease P (RNase P) is a ubiquitous endoribonuclease, found in archaea, bacteria and eukarya as well as chloroplasts and mitochondria. Its best characterised activity is the generation of mature 5'-ends of tRNAs by cleaving the 5'-leader elements of precursor-tRNAs. Cellular RNase Ps are ribonucleoproteins.
Source: RNAcentral
CAAGUAGACCGGGUGGCCGCCCUGUAUUAGUACGGGGAGGAAAGUCCGAACUCCACCGAGCAGGGUGCUGGGUAACACCCAGGAGGGGUAACCCUACGGAAAGUGCCACAGAAACAUACCACCUAUCCCUUGAAAAACAAAGAGUGGCAAGGGAACAGGGCAAGGGUGAAAUGGUGAGGUAAGAGCUUACCAGCAGUCAGGUGACUGAUUGGCUGGGCAAACCCCACCUGGAGCAAGACCGAAUAGAAGGGCGAUAACCGCCCAGAGAGCUGUGGUUUUCUUUGGUUGCGGUUUAAGGUGCUCGGCCGAAGCCCUCGGGUUGGUCGCUUGACCCCAGCGGUAACACUGGGGCUAGAUGGAUGGCCACCACUCCACUUUGGAGUACAGAACUCGGCUUAUAGAUCUACUUGCUCC